GACGAACGCUGGCGGCGUGCUUAACACAUGCAAGUCGAGCGGUAAGGCCCUUUCGGGGGUACACGAGCGGCGAACGGGUGAGUAACACGUGGGUGACCUGCCCUUAGCUCUGGGAUAAGCCUGGGAAACUGGGUCUAAUACCGGAUAUGACUCCAUGACGCAUGUUGUGGGGUGGAAAGCCUUGUGCGGCUAGGGGAUGGGCCCGCGGCCUAUCAGCUUGUUGGUGGGGUGAUGGCCACCAAGGCGACGACGGGUAGCCGGCCUGAGAGGGCGACCGGCCACACUGGGACUGAGAUACGGCCCAGACUCCUACGGGAGGCAGCAGUGGGGAAUCUUGCGCAAUGGGCGAAAAGCCUGACGCAGCGACGCCGCGUGAGGGAUGACGGCCU
RNAcentral lists this ribosomal RNA (389 nucleotides) under uncultured bacterium. Its description in RNAcentral is "bacterial SSU rRNA". It matches the Rfam family "Bacterial small subunit ribosomal RNA", at positions 28 to 417 of the family's 1533-position model. The record is from RNAcentral.